AAUACACAAAUGUAUAAUACCUUAAUUCCAAUAUCAGGAGCACAGUCUGUCUUUACCGUAAAUAGCUUCGAGAUUAAUAUGUAAGUUUACUUUGCUAAUCGAUGUUCCUGUAAUUCAGAUUUAAAUUUAUUUGUGAGACCCCCGUCACUAUUUAUAUUCACUCAAAGAAAGGGGUUCUCCGUUACUGGGAAAAUCCAAGGACGUAUUGUGUUAGUUGUCCUUGGAAAAUCUUAUCUGAUUUAGGAUCAAUUUAUCGGUUACACUCCCCUAUCACCAGUGAUUCUUUGUGAACUGACAUUCUGAAAAAGGGCAAGAACAUUAAAGAUAAAGGGAAACUAUAAACAAAAGAAAUUAUCAACAAGAAUAGAUUUACAGACGUCAACAAAGCCUAAAUGGUCAGACAUCUUGGUUUUCAUGAUCAUCAUUCAACAGGUCAAUACUGAACAGCAAACUUAAAGUUGAUAUUUUUCUACAUAGUGUGACUUUUUUAUUAAUUUGAAAUGGAAUGUGUUUUUUUUCCUACAUAAGAAAGAGGAAAUUUCAACAUAAUGACUAUAAACAAAAAGGAGUCAUAUCAUCAUGAUCAUAGAUGCUCAAGAACUUAAUCAUGUAAAUGCAACAAUGUAAUUAUCAAUUGAAAGAAGGGAGGAAUGAAAAAAUAUAUUAGUAUUUUGUUGUCCAAAUGAACUUGCUUUGUCCACUCAUUUAAAUCGCUCCAUCCAAUAAAGAUGUACGGAGGAAGAUUUUUGAAGAACAGAUUGCAAAAAUGUUUUGUUUAAGAAUUGUAGGAAUAUUCUAGUGGAUGAAAUAAUUUAUUUACUUGACUCUUAUAUAGUGGACUGAAUAAUUGUUCAUAGCAAGCUGAAACAAGAAAACUAAAACUUAACAGGAAAAGUGUUUAUUUUAUAAAUUUACAAAUAUAAAUGUAAUAUUAUGAACACCACAUAGGAAUAAGAUUCAAAUCGUUUGCAUAUUCAUGUAUUGCAAUGGAACUAUAACAAAGAAAACUUUACCUCAUGAAAAGAGUAAACUAUUAACUGUGCUUUGUCAAUUUAUUCAGUCAGAAUAUGAAAUAUUUUUUUCAGUUCUAUUUUUCAUAAUAAAACAAAGAAGACAAAGAUUUCAAAUCAAUAUUUUUUUCUUUUAUUAAGACGUCAUCAUUUUAUUUCAGUUAAAGGAUUUUAUUUUUUGACUUUAAAUAUUAUUAUAUUUCCAAAAUAAUAAUAAUCUUUAUUGUCAUAUAAACAAAUUGAAAACAUGUUUGUGACAAAAUGAAAAAAAAACAAAAUACACUCAUAUAUAUAUUAUAAACUUUUUACUACCAAACAGAAUUCAUUGUAACAUACACAUUACUGUAUAUUUAUAAUUUGAAUUCCAUAGGAUUUUAUUUUGUCCCAUGGGAUAUUAAAAAUCCCAUGGGAUAAUUAUAGUCCCAUGGGAUUUUUUUUUGUCCCAUGGGACAACAAAUAUCCCAUGGGACUACAGUUAUCCCAUGGGACCCAAAAAAAUCCUAUGGGAUUUAACCAAAAUCCCAUGGGAUAAUGGUCAAUCCCAUGGGAUUUGCCCUAUCCCAUGGGAUAUUGAAAAUCCCAUGUUUUUGUAAAUCAAAUUACAAAAUAUAUAUAAUAAUAACAGCAGAAAAGCAAUGAAAUUAUUGAAUCCCAUGUAAUUCCGCACAUUUUGGUUAUUUACACGACACUGUAGGUCUAAGGAGAGGCGGCGGCGGAUUUGCAAAUGAGUGUUUUGCAAAUUAAAAGUGUCCAGUG
This is a long non-coding RNA of Mytilus californianus (California mussel), 1766 nucleotides long. RefSeq lists it as uncharacterized. The transcript has 3 exons. NCBI's taxonomy places the organism in Eukaryota, Metazoa, Mollusca, Bivalvia, Mytilida, Mytilidae. The record is from RefSeq and is a predicted model, not a curated record.